This 65-nucleotide transfer RNA is filed under the name Scarabaeidae sp. BMNH 1274752. RNAcentral's name for it is "tRNA-Asn". The record is from RNAcentral. Lineage: Eukaryota; Metazoa; Arthropoda; Insecta; Coleoptera; Scarabaeidae.
UUAAUUAAAGCCAAAAAGAGGCAUGUCACUGUUAAUGAUAAAAUUGGAAAAUAAUCCUAAUUAAA